Molecule: long non-coding RNA, 1430 nt
Organism: Heterocephalus glaber (naked mole-rat)
Lineage: Eukaryota; Metazoa; Chordata; Mammalia; Rodentia; Bathyergidae
Source: Ensembl
CAAGAUCUCACUACGUGGCUGAAUUGCCCAGGCUGGGCUGGAACAUGCGAUCCGCCUGUCUCAGCCUCCUGGAGUGUUGAGAAUACAGGUGUGCACCGCCACGCGGACCUUAUAUUUUACAUUUUUCAUACUAAGCCUGUGCCACCCAGAGUGUUACACUACCGCCCAUCUCAGUACGCCUGCGCUACACUUCCGGGCUCAGAGCCCACGUGGCUGCCGCGAUGGACCGCGGCGCUGCAGAGCCCCGGAGGCGGCAAGGAGGAGGACGCAGCGAGCAGGUGUCUGGCUUGUCCCCCAGGGAACCACAGCAGAGCUCAGCUGUCCUGGUCCACAGGGGAGACGUCACCCACGGACCACACACCUCCUGCCACUGGAGGCCCCUGCUGGUGACCGCACAGUCCCCAUCCUCCUGACACCAGAAGCCAACGAGGACUCGGGCAGCUGCCAUCACCAGGCUUGUGCUGACUCCUUCCUAGACGGCAGGGACUCUCCAGGGCAGCAGCUCCCCUGGGGGUAGGGGUCCCUCAGGAAGGUCAGGCCCUCGGAAGACCCCUUCCCCUGGACCCUUCCAGGGCCCUUUCCCUCUCUCUCCCCUUCGAUUCUGUUUUCCUGCUGCCUUGACCUAGGGUUUUAGUGUUUCACUGCUCAGGACGGGGAGCGCUGCCAUUUUUCACACUUUUGCUUUGUUUUGGUCUGCUUUUGUGCCCUUAGCUGAGGUUCCUGUACAAGACAUGCCUUCAGGCUGUCCACACCUUGCUCCUUCCCUGGGGACAGAGGGAGUGGUCAGUCAUGCUUGGGGGUCUGAGCCAGCAUGGCCCCAAGUGCCUCACCACAACUUCACUUCUAAGGCCCCCAAAUGUGGCUGCACCUGACUGGGGCACGGCUUCUCCUCUAGGUGUCAUCCUAACACUCAGCCUGUUUAUUGCCGGGAAGCAAGAGUUGGGGGACAAGAGGAAGCAGCCUCUUGAGCUGGCCUCUGCGCCUGCCUGAACUUUCUUUCCGUUCCUGUGGCCGGCAGCACUAUCCCUCAGCCCUGGCCCCUUCCAUUUACAUUUUGUUUUUUGGUUCAGACCCCGUUCAACCCGGGUUCCAGUCCUGUGACUUGGUCAUCAACUGAACUGGUCACUCAGUGAAGAAUUCUAUGUAGUCUGUACAUUACAAUAUUCAGAACAAAGACAUGGUCAAAGGAAGCUCCAGCUUGAUGACUUCGCUUUUAUUUGCAUAACUCUUCCAUGCGGUACUGUAAUGUAUAACAGAACAUAAAGCUACAGCACUGUACUGUGCAGUACUAUCAGCAAAAAUUACAGCACUGAAUAAACAGGGUGUACUGUACAAUAAAAAGACAUUGAAGUUCUAUAAACAAGAUGUACAGAACUGUACAAAAAAAAAAGAUGGCUCAUAAAUCUGAGCAGAGGAUCUUAUGCCUCGGC